This 309-nucleotide ribosomal RNA is filed under the name Triticum aestivum (bread wheat). RNAcentral describes it as "partial small subunit ribosomal RNA". Lineage: Eukaryota; Viridiplantae; Streptophyta; Magnoliopsida; Poales; Poaceae. The record is from RNAcentral.
AUGGCAAAAGUACUCCAUUUUGGCCAUGGCAAAAUUAAUCCAUUUUUUGCCAUGGCAAAUUUUUAUUUCACUUUUGCCAUGGCAAAUUUAACUCCAUUUUUUGCCAUGGCAAAUUUUUACUUCACUUUUGCCAUGGCAAAUUUAACUCCAUUUUUUGCCAUGUCAAAAAUACUUUUAUUUCACAUGGAAAAUUCUAGUUUAAGUUGCCAUUUUAAAUUUUAUUUUAAGUUGCCAUGGCAAUUUCAAUUUAAAUAUUAUGGAAAAUUUACAUUUUAUAGAACAUGGCAAUUUUUGCUAUGUAGCAUCUAA